UGACGUUAGCGACAGAAGAAGCACCGGCUAACUCCGUGCCAGCAGCCGCGGUAAUACGGAGGGUGCGAGCGUUAAUCGGAAUUACUGGGCGUAAAGCGCAUGCAGGUGGUUUGUUAAGUCAGAUGUGAAAGCCCGGGGCUCAACCUCGGAAUAGCAUUUGAAACUGGCAGACUAGAGUACUGUAGAGGGGGGUAGAAUUUCAGGUGUAGCGGUGAAAUGCGUAGAGAUCUGAAGGAAUACCGGUGGCGAAGGCGGCCCCCUGGACAGAUACUGACACUCAGAUGCGAAAGCGUGGGGAGCAAACAGGAUUAGAUACCCUGGUAGUCCACGCCGUAAACGAUGUCUACUUGGAGGUUGUGGCCUUGAGCCGUGGCUUUCGGAGCUAACGCGUUAAGUAGACCGCCUGGGGAGUACGGUCGCAAGAUUAAAACUCAAAUGAAUUGACGGGGGCCCGCACAAGCGGUGGAGCAUGUGGUUUAAUUCGAUGCAACGCGAAGAACCUUACCUACUCUUGACAUCCAGAGAACUUUCCAGAGAUGGAUUGGUGCCUUCGGGAACUCUGAGACAGGUGCUGCAUGGCUGUCGUCAGCUCGUGUUGUGAAAUGUUGGGUUAAGUCCCGCAACGAGCGCAACCCUUAUCCUUGUUUGCCAGCGAGUAAUGUCGGGAACUCCAGGGAGACUGCCGGUGAUAAACCGGAGGAAGGUGGGGACGACGUCAAGUCAUCAUGGCCCUUACGAGUAGGGCUACACACGUGCUACAAUGGCGCAUACAGAGGGCGGCCAACUUGCGAAAGUGAGCGAAUCCCAAAAAGUGCGUCGUAGUCCGGAUUGGAGUCUGCAACUCGACUCCAUGAAGUCGGAAUCGCUAGUAAUCGUGGAUCAGAAUGCCACGGUGAAUACGUUCCCGGGCCUUGUACACACCGCCCGUCACACCAUGGGAGUGGGCUG
This 948-nucleotide ribosomal RNA is filed under the name Vibrio alginolyticus. RNAcentral's name for it is "bacterial SSU rRNA". It matches the Rfam family "Bacterial small subunit ribosomal RNA", at positions 470 to 1417 of the family's 1533-position model. Lineage: Bacteria; Pseudomonadati; Pseudomonadota; Gammaproteobacteria; Vibrionales; Vibrionaceae. The record is from RNAcentral.